AUGCUAAAGCCUCAAUCGAUUUUGAUACAUAUAAGGUGUCCUACGGAUAAUGCAAAUCGAAGCUAUUUGAUGUCUGACUCAGGCGUAUAUGACCGAUCGAUCGAAAUACUCCAAGACUCCACCUUUGUCAUAUAG
Molecule: ribosomal RNA, 135 nt
Filed under: Triticum aestivum (bread wheat)
Lineage: Eukaryota; Viridiplantae; Streptophyta; Magnoliopsida; Poales; Poaceae
Description: partial small subunit ribosomal RNA
Source: RNAcentral